CCUACGGGUGGCAGCAGUGAGGAAUAUUGGACAAUGGGCGCAAGCCUGAACCAGCCACGUAGCGUGAAGGAUGACUGCUCUACGGGUUGUAAGCUUCUUUAAUGAAGGAAUAACGUGAUGCACGUGUGCCUUUUUGUAUGUCCUUUAUGAAUAACGAUCGGCUAACUCCGUGCCAGCAGCCGCGGUAAUACGGAGGAUCAGCGUGUUAGCCGGAUUUUUUGGGUUUAAAGGGAGCGCAGACGGCGUUGCAAGCGAGGAGUGAAAGCCCGGGGCACAACCCCGGAACUGCUCUUGAAACUGUGUUGCUGGAGUGCAGGAGAGGCAGGCGGAAUGCCUGGUGUAGCGGUGAAAUGCGUAGAUAUCAGGAGGAACACCGGUGGCGAAGGCGGCCUGCUGGACUGCAACUGACGUUGAGGCCCGAAAGCGUGGGGAGCAAACAGGAUUAGAUACCCCAGUAGUC
Molecule: ribosomal RNA, 460 nt
Filed under: uncultured bacterium
Lineage: Bacteria
Description: partial 16S ribosomal RNA
Rfam family: Bacterial small subunit ribosomal RNA
Source: RNAcentral